GCCUUCGUAGUGUAAUGGUUAGCACACUCGGCGCAUACUCGAGUGGUCCGUGGUUCGAGUCCCGGCUAGAGCA
Molecule: transfer RNA, 73 nt
Filed under: Stegodyphus mimosarum
Lineage: Eukaryota; Metazoa; Arthropoda; Arachnida; Araneae; Eresidae
Rfam family: tRNA
About the family: Transfer RNA (tRNA) molecules are approximately 80 nucleotides in length. Their secondary structure includes four short double-helical elements and three loops (D, anti-codon, and T loops). Further hydrogen bonds mediate the characteristic L-shaped molecular structure. tRNAs have two regions of fundamental functional importance: the anti-codon, which is responsible for specific mRNA codon recognition, and the 3' end, to which the tRNAs corresponding amino acid is attached (by aminoacyl-tRNA synthetases). tRNAs cope with the degeneracy of the genetic code in two manners: having more than one tRNA (with a specific anti-codon) for a particular amino acid; and 'wobble' base-pairing, i.e. permitting non-standard base-pairing at the 3rd anti-codon position.
Source: Rfam by way of RNAcentral